AUAGAAAUAAACUAAAAAAAGUUGUUUGGUUCAUGCCCAAAAUAUAGAUUUGAUUCUUUUCUGUG
RNAcentral lists this transfer RNA (65 nucleotides) under Marcia hiantina. RNAcentral's name for it is "tRNA-Met". The record is from RNAcentral. Lineage: Eukaryota; Metazoa; Mollusca; Bivalvia; Venerida; Veneridae.